AAAUGGCAAACCCGAGCGAAAGCCGGGGGCGCAAAGUCACGGGUCUAUAAGGAGGAAUCUAUGAUCGCCGGACUGCCGAA
This 80-nucleotide non-coding RNA is filed under the name marine eukaryotic metagenome. RNAcentral's name for it is "Cyclic di-GMP-I riboswitch". It matches the Rfam family "c-di-GMP-I riboswitch aptamer". Rfam says of the family: GEMM was predicted in a large-scale screen for bacterial structured RNA regulatory elements. Genes associated with GEMM are involved in a diverse array of functions, including chemotaxis regulation, signal transduction, secretion and chitin. The record is from RNAcentral.